RNAcentral lists this ribosomal RNA (200 nucleotides) under uncultured eukaryote. RNAcentral describes it as "partial 18S ribosomal RNA". It matches the Rfam family "Eukaryotic small subunit ribosomal RNA", at positions 588 to 792 of the family's 1831-position model. The record is from RNAcentral.
GCUCCAAUAGCGUAUAUUAAAGUUGUUGCAGUUAAAACGCUCGUAGUCGGAUUUCGGGGCGGGUGUGCCGGUCUGCCGAUGGGUAUGCACUGGCGGGUCCGUCCUUCCUUCCGGAGGCCGUUCCUACUCUUAGCUGAGCGGGUUUGGUAGACGGAAAGUUUACUUUGAAAAAAUCAGAGUGUUUCAAGCAGGCAGCUCGC